UACGUAGGGAGCAAGCGUUGUCCGGAAUCAUUGGGCGUAAAGCGCGCGUAGGUGGCUUCGUAAGUCCGUUGUGAAAGUCAAAGGCUCAACCUUUGAAAGCCGAUGGAUACUGUGAAGCUAGAGUACGGAAGAGGCGAGUGGAAUUCCUGGUGUAGCGGUGGAAUGCGCAGAUAUCAGGAGGAACACCAAUAGCGAAGGCAGCUCGCUGGGCCGAUACUGACGCUGAGGAGCGAAGGCGUGGGGAGCGAACGGG
Molecule: ribosomal RNA, 253 nt
Filed under: uncultured bacterium
Lineage: Bacteria
Description: partial 16S ribosomal RNA
Rfam family: Bacterial small subunit ribosomal RNA
Source: RNAcentral